CUCCAAUUUAAAAAGAAAAAAACAAACAAGCAAACAUCCCCCUUGUCCCCUGCAAAUAUUCUCCAGAAACACACAAUCUAAAAAAUGCAUGUUUUCACUGCAGUGCCAGGAAAAUAGCUACCGGUACUGGUAACUACCUUUGGAUGAGAGCUACAUAUACAUGAUCUCUUGUGAUGUUCACAACCACACUGUGAGGCAGGAGCCGCGGUAUCCCCUUGCUACAGAGGAGAGGACAGGACUGACCCCUGAGCUCAUGUCCCUGAUCCCCUAUAGUAUUUUGUUUGUGAACUUGAUUCUCUUGGCUGGGUGUCAUGGCUGCCUCCAGAGAGGAACUUUCACAGAGCACUGGCUCUUAACCGAGAGCAGUUUUGCCCCCUUGGGAACAUUUGGCAAUGCCUGGAGAUAUUUUUGAUUGUCACGACUUGCAGCUGGCCAGGGAUGCUACGAAACAUCCUACACUUCAAUGAUCUGGCUGAACUUGUCAAUAGCAUUGAGGUGGAGACACCCUCCUGUAGAUGCUUCUAUUUUGUGACAUUAAGAUUUAAAGUGGUUUGCUUUGUUGUGAAUAAUUAGAAAGGGAGAAAACUGGAGGAUGAAAGAGCUCCCUGAAAUCAUCACUCACAGCAACAUCGGCCUGGGUCCUUUUGCACAAAGAUGCUUCGGGAAACAAACCAAACCCGCAACACUUUAUCCUUAAAACCUGGACAAGAGGGGGCACCUGGGUGGCUCAGUUGGUUGAGUGUCCAACUCUUGAUUUCUGCUCAGGACAUGAUCUCAGGUUCCAUCCACAUAGGGAUCUGUGCCGAGCAUGGAGCCUGCUUAUGGUUUUUUCUCUCUCCCUCUGCUCCUCUCCCCUGCUCACUCCCUCUCUCUAAAAAUCAAAACAAAACAAAAGAAAAGAAACAACAACAACAACAAGAAAACCAGAAAAUAAACCGGGACAAGAUAUGCACACCUAAGAGACUCAGUGUCAUGGAAGACUGGUGGUUGCCUUUCCAUUAUCCUUGCUUGUAUCAUUCUCUCCUCCCUCUUUGUAACAGCUGCAUCCAGAUCUCCAGGGGAUUCUGAGUGAGCCAACAUCAGCUGACAUCCCUGACAUCAGCGGACAGCCCUGGGCGGAGCUCGUCACUGAGGAGUGGGCGGGUGACCUAAGCAAAAGGAAUGUCUGGAUAUUUUCUGUGAAUACUGGGACAGAAGCUGUCCUCCUAAGGGUGGGUGGGAGUAAGGGUCAGAGAUCAAAAACACUUUCCUUUCUACUGGGAGGGAAGCCCCAGCACUGGUGACACCUUCCAGCUGGCCAGCACCUGGCAGGCAGGCUUGUGCUCUAGUUUCUCUGUAUUCUGUGCAGUACAUACAGAUAUAUGUGGUCUGAACAAGCCACAGGGUCACAGGAACAGAGCCGUGUGACUGGGGGUUCUGCUUUGCGUGCCUCUGGGAGAAAAGGACAGUUGUGGGGACAUAGACUAUGUGAUGCUACACUUGCAAGUCCCUCUCUGUCAGCCAAGGCACCUACACGUUCGGGUGACAUUCCUGUCCACAAAUGGCUCCAGCCAGCUCAGCCUGUCUGCCCCUGUCUUCCUUUUUGCUGCUUCCUUGUGAUCGUUUUUGAGUGCUUCAUCCAGCUCUCCCACUUCUUAGCUAGAGAACCGCUGGCAAGUUUCUCCCUUCUGUGCCCCCCUUCCUCACCAGUAUUGGCCUGAAGGUGACCGGGCUUAACAGGGCCAUUCCGUGCCCUGUGGGUGCUCACUGAGUGUGAACUGUUAUGAAGAGCAACAGGACAGGUGAAUGCAGAGGAAGAAGGGAAACAGGCAGUUUUACCAGCUACUUACUAUGCGGUGUUUCAGAGUUGAGGGUCUCACGCACACAGUCAUUCAUUUGACUUCUGCUGUCCAAUGUGUGGCCACUGGUCACAGGUAGCUAUGAGCACCCGAAACUUGGCUGAUACAAACUGACGUGAGCUGCCAGUGUAAAACACACAGGGGAUUUGGGAGACUUAGUAUGAAAAAGGGAAUGUACAAUAUUUUAUUAAUAUUUCUUUUUAUAUUGAUUACCUCUUGAACUAAUAUUUUGGAUAUAUUUGGCUUAAAAAAUAUAUUAUUAAAAUGAAUUUCAGUUGUUUCAUUUUUUAAGGUGGCUACUAGAAAAUUUUAAAUUACAUCUGUGUAAUUUUAUUUCUCCUAUUUUAUUUCUUUCAGACAGUGCUGGUCUUGGUGGAACCUUCAGUGGGGUAACUUCUGGGUGUUGAAUGGAGCUUCCAGCCCACAAAACGUCUCUUAUAUGGGACAGUGAUGGCUGAGAUCCCAUCAUAGGAGCCUCAAUCCUUAAAGGCCUUGAGCCCUGGGAAAAAUUUUAAUCUCCCUGGGGGGUUUUAAGCUAUCAGUCAUUUGCACCCUAGUAUGAAUGAGCACCAAGGUCUUUUUUUUUUUUUUUUUUUUUUGGUGGAGAGCAGGUUUUGAUACCAGGAAGUAGGGUUGGAGGGAAGCAGAGGGGAGCAAAGACAAUGAGAACAGUGAGCAGGUAAGAGUGGGCGAAGGGUUCCCACCCAAGUGGGUGAAGAGGGUGCUGAGCGGGGCAAUGGUGAAAUAGAUCUGCUGAGCGGGGCAAUGGUGAAACAUUGCCAUCACAGCUUUGUGUCUUCCUUUUGUACUUCUUACAGCACUAUCAUGGUGGUCUGCAUGUCACAUGGGGAGUCCACUAUAACUGUACAGACUGGGUGACCAAUAAUAAGAUUUGAAAGAAGGAUUUCCUUACACAGGACAAUUUCUCACCUGGCAUGAUUUGACCUUGAGUCUGCAAACCAUACCCCCCAUUUCUUUCUUGGUGGCCAGAGGUCCUGAGGGGUAGAAAUUCCCACCCGAGAAGCCUGCCUGCUUGCAUCCUGUUCUCCCUCUAUCCUGGACAUGUCAGAUGCGUGUCAGAAAGCCAUCCCUGCGUGAAAUCUUCUGAAACAAAGGGGUCAAUGAAUCCAGCAGGGGAAAGCUUGCCUGAGGAAAAUGUUCACAUUCUCUGAGCAUGCUGAGUUAGCAAGUCCGUUCAGCCAAUUCCGAACGUCUAUUGAGCACUUUUUGUAUACCAGAGCUCCACUGAGUGUGAGACUGGAUACCAGCAAUGGAUAGAAGACAGAGAGAAAGCCAGGUGGACUCUGAUUCCUGACGCAGGGAAGUGAAGAAGACCACUGCUGUGGUUGGCCAGUUUUCCAGUUUGGGGAUUUCCUUGAAAUGUACCAAUAGGACCAUGCCUCCCUGGUAGCAUCCCAAGAUGAUGGAAAAGCCCUAUUUUCUCCCUUCCUUAGCCUCACCUUCAAAUCUGUGGGCUCUGCUGUGCCCACUUAUUCAAUUUCAGCGCCACAUGAAGGUCCCCACCACAGGGCAGGGGCCAGACUUCUACCUGCUCUGUUCCCCAAGCUGUACACUCUGGUGAAGGGCCGUGUCCACCCAUAGGGGGUGCUUUUUCUCUCAUUCUUGCAGAGGCACCCCACACGUUUGUGGCUGUGAAUUUGGUGCACUGAAGUUCCUUGCCAGACCAGCCUAGCACUGGACUAAAGACACUGGACAAGGAUAUAAAGAAGCAAAUGACAUCCUUCUUGUGUCACCUGAUGCAGGAAACCCUAAGUGGAGACCCAAAGACAUUCCUGGACUUUUUCAAAAGCCAUGUCAAGAACACCUGUGCACACCCCACCCCCCACUUUCAUCUUUCUGACUUCUGGCUCUAUUCUUUCUUUGGGGGAAACUAAUAAAUGCCAGAGUGUUUAAUAUUUUAUGAUAAAAA
This is a long non-coding RNA of Felis catus (domestic cat), 3768 nucleotides long. RefSeq lists it as uncharacterized. The record is from RefSeq and is a predicted model, not a curated record. The transcript is spliced from 3 exons. NCBI's taxonomy places the organism in Eukaryota, Metazoa, Chordata, Mammalia, Carnivora, Felidae.